GCGAUUCGAUCGUCGUGGCUAUGACGAACAGUGACACAACUAUAAGUGACUAUAUAGCUUUUGUUAGUUGAGUCAAGUGAUGAAGGAUUUUCGACUUGCUGGGUGAAAGCCCCAAUCCGACCUUCAUUCGUUAGGUAUGGCAACAACAACAACCGUGCAUCAUCACCUUCUUAAAAAAAUCUUGCCUUCGAAUAUAUUUUUAAGCCUAUGCUGACAAGCCAUUCACUGUUGGUUCAUCCAUGUCAGGGGAGAACCAGGGUGCACUCUAGGGAUGAAAACCAUUGUUUGGCCUUCACGGGAUGUUUCGAUAACUUUGAUGUAUGACUAUUACCAUGUUCCUGAAGACCAUUGUCCUAUGGUGUCUUGUUUGAUGCUAUCUCUGUUAUAUAUUGUCGACGAUUUAGUUGGAUUAACUGGUAGGUUGUAAAUGUAGAAGGUCGUCCGUUGCUAGUGGUGGAUUUGUGUGUUGAAAGGUGAUUCAUUGCAUUCUCUUAGGAUUUAUGUCCCUUUUUCGGCAUCGGUGUCUUCG
RNAcentral lists this long non-coding RNA (529 nucleotides) under Triticum aestivum (bread wheat). Its description in RNAcentral is "long non-coding RNA (TAES_LNC018091)". Lineage: Eukaryota; Viridiplantae; Streptophyta; Magnoliopsida; Poales; Poaceae. The record is from RNAcentral.